GAUGAACGCUGGCGGCGUGCCUAAUACAUGCAAGUCGAGCGAAUGGAUUAAGAGCUUGCUCUUCGGAUUAGUGGCGAACGGGUGAGUAACACGUGACUAACCUGCCCCUUUCUCUGGGAUAACGCUCCGAAAGGAGUGCUAAUACCGGAUACUCACAUCGAGGCACAUGCCUUGAUGUGGAAAGUUUUUCGGAAAGGGAUGGAGUCGCGGCCUAUCAGCUUGUUGGUGGGGUAACGGCUCACCAAGGCGACGACGGUUAGCCGGCCUGAGAGGGGGAACGGCGACACUGGGACUGAGACACGGUCCAGACUCCUACGGGAGGGAGCAGUGGGGAAUAUUGCACAAUGGGCGAAAGCCUGAUGCAGCGACGCCGCGUGAGGGAUGAAGGUCUUCGGAUUGUAAACCUCUUUCAGUAGGGACGAAGCGAAGGUGACGGUACCUAAAGAAGAAGCACCGGCUAACUACGUGCCAGCAGCCGCCGUAA
This 484-nucleotide ribosomal RNA is filed under the name uncultured bacterium. Its description in RNAcentral is "partial 16S ribosomal RNA". It matches the Rfam family "Bacterial small subunit ribosomal RNA", at positions 28 to 523 of the family's 1533-position model. The record is from RNAcentral.